AUUAAACAUACUUUUAUUUUGUAGUGUCCAAAAAGCAAGCGAAAUUGCCAGAAGAGCACGCUUUCCUGAAAAAUUUUCGUUCGAUGACGAGGUCUUGACUUGACCUUCGUUCGCCAUGGCGUACGUGCCAAAUGCGCAUCUAUCGCUCUCUCUUUCUAACCCUGGAGGAGAACUAAGCGCAGAAAAGAAGAUCAAAAAGGAAUGAGAUAGAGCGAUUCGAAUAAGAUAUUGUAAGCAGCAGAAGAAGAACAUCUCAUCACCAUCUAAGAAUACAAAGAAGGCUACCAUUCAGGACUUUGAAAAGCAGAUCCAAGAGUGUCUGCACUAUAAAGAGCCCAAGCGCGA
Drosophila pseudoobscura is the source of this 345-nucleotide long non-coding RNA. RefSeq lists it as uncharacterized. NCBI's taxonomy places the organism in Eukaryota, Metazoa, Arthropoda, Insecta, Diptera, Drosophilidae. The record is from RefSeq and is a predicted model, not a curated record. The transcript is spliced from 2 exons.